AUUGAACGCUGGCGGCAUGCCUUACACAUGCAAGUCGAACGGCAGCACGGGAGCAAUCCUGGUGGCGAGUGGCGAACGGGUGAGUAAUAUAUCGGAACGUGCCCAGUCGUGGGGGAUAACGUAGCGAAAGCUACGCUAAUACCGCAUACGAUCUACGGAUGAAAGCGGGGGACUCGCAAGGGCCUCGCGCGAUUGGAGCGGCCGAUAUCAGAUUAGGUUGUUGGUGAGGUAAAAGCUCACCAAGCCUGCGAUCUGUAGCUGGUCUGAGAGGACGACCAGCCACACUGGAACUGAGACACGGUCCAGACUCCUACGGGAGGCAGCAGUGGGGAAUUUUGGACAAUGGACGCAAGUCUGAUCCAGCAAUGCCGCGUGCAGGACGAAGGCCUUCGGGUUGUAAACUGCUUUUGUACGGAACGAAACGGUCUGCUUUAAUACAGUGGGCUAAUGACGGUACCGUAAGAAUAAGCACCGGCUAACUACGUGCCAGCAGCCGCGGUAAUACGUAGGGUGCGAGCGUUAAUCGGAAUUACUUGGGCGUAAGCGUGCGCAGGCGGUAUAUAGUCAGAUGUGAAAUCCCCGGGCUCAACCUGGGACCUGCAUUUGAGACUGUAUAGCUAGAGUACGGUAGAGGGGGAUGAAUUCCCGUGUAGCAGUGAAAUGCGUAGAUU
This 671-nucleotide ribosomal RNA is filed under the name uncultured bacterium. RNAcentral's name for it is "bacterial SSU rRNA". It matches the Rfam family "Bacterial small subunit ribosomal RNA", at positions 28 to 696 of the family's 1533-position model. The record is from RNAcentral.